GACGAACGCUGGCGGCGCGCUUAACACAUGCAAGUCGAGCGAGAACCAGUCCUUCGGGACUGGGGACAGCGGCGAACGGGUGAGUAACACGUGGGUAAUCGACCCUUGGUACUGGGAUAGCCCGGGGAAACCCGGAUUAAUACCGGAUGGCCCAGCAGCUCUUCGGGGCGGCUGGAAAAGGUAGCUUCGGCCUCCGACCAAGGACGAGCCCGCGGCGGAUUAGCUUGUUGGCGGGGUAAAAGCCCACCAAGGCGACGAUCCGUAGCUGGU
RNAcentral lists this ribosomal RNA (270 nucleotides) under uncultured bacterium. RNAcentral describes it as "partial 16S ribosomal RNA". It matches the Rfam family "Bacterial small subunit ribosomal RNA", at positions 28 to 291 of the family's 1533-position model. The record is from RNAcentral.